RNAcentral lists this long non-coding RNA (1067 nucleotides) under Gallus gallus (chicken). Its description in RNAcentral is "lncRNA (ENSGALG00010011290.1)". Lineage: Eukaryota; Metazoa; Chordata; Aves; Galliformes; Phasianidae. The record is from RNAcentral.
UGCUGUUUUAAUUCCACAAAAGCUUUGUGAAUUCGGCUUAACGGAGCUCCCUGCACAACAGCCCUGUGCCACGCAGAAGCAAGGGAGGUUCCUCUCAAGUGGUCACAGGUUUAACGUCUGGGUUUUUGUCAGCGGGAUUUGAUUUCAUUUUUCCUCUCUCCACCAUUUGGAGAAGCCUUUGGCUGGAGAUAUUAUAAAAGAGAUGUUUUUUUUUUUUUUUUUUUUUUUUUUUUUUAAUGGUAACGCUUAACUGGAAAGACUGGGAGGAAGACAAAGCUACACAGGGACCAAAGGAGUGUCUUCAGAUGAAAUGUAAUCAUGUGACUCAAGGCAGAAGCAGGCAAGACGUCUGGAAGGGACUUGAACAUUUAUGCCUCAGUGCUGCUGCUUGACUUCCUCCAGAGAAGGGAGAGCAUGCUUGGAUGUUUGCCAAAAGGGAGAUCACAGUUCUUUCUAAUGCAGACCUUGCAAGGCCUAGCACAAGGCAAAGACACUUGAGCACUGGAAUAGUUUCUUGGAGACUCUGAUGGCUCUUCUGCAUAUGAAUCAAAAAGAUUGAAAAAGACCACCAAGAUCAUCUCGUCCAACCGUUAAACCCAUUGACCUAUUCUCUUUUCACUCUGUCUCAUUUUAAAAACCUUCAUUUACUCCGUAACCCUCUUACCAGGACCUGUGUAGAUGUCAUAUAUUCACAGCCCUGGACUCAGACCAGAAAGAACCUGAGGACAAACAUGCUUACUUCGCUGCAAGCGCCAGCCCCACGUGGGCUGCCCACUGCUGGAGAUGUGUGCACCCAAACCACGUUGCCACAAUCCCCAAAGUUUUUUGCACCACCACUAUUUCUCUGCAAAUCCUUAAGCUGCACCAGCUGACUCCGCCAAACAAAUUAUUUUACAUUUUUUAACUGAAAUGCUUUUUGUUUUUAUUUUAAUGAAUCCCCUAACUCCGAGUUUAAUUAAACUCAUGUUUUUUAAUUAAUUACCAACAAAUGCAAAUAAGGGAAACUACACAAACAUGUAUUCACCGUUCACAGAUAGAUACAGUUGUUGUUUUUUUUAAUCCUCAAG